Sinocyclocheilus anshuiensis is the source of this 2017-nucleotide long non-coding RNA. Ensembl lists it as uncharacterized. The record is from Ensembl. NCBI's taxonomy places the organism in Eukaryota, Metazoa, Chordata, Actinopteri, Cypriniformes, Cyprinidae.
CCCGCCCAUUGGAACAGUUUUUCACGGGAACCGAAUAUUACACAACACCGGCGUGAAUUACAUUUGUGGUCUUUGGUGUGAAGACAUGAGCGUACCGCUUAUACUCCGAGUCAAGUGACCAAUUUUAGGUUCAAACUCUUCUGAAUGUCAUGGAGAACUUUGUGGUUUACAUUCCCAAGGAAGCAUGUGUCAAGAACAUGCCUCUGCAGUCCCUGUCCAGCUCCACAGCCAGGAAGAUCAGUGUCGCUCUGUCUCCACAUGGAUCAGAGAAACAGAUGCAGCAGACUGUGACGUGGAUCUGUCCGGUUGAGCUGCGGGAAAAAGAAGUGGCUGUGGGCAAGGACAGCAGAGAACUGGUCCCACUGAGCCAGAGGCAGCUGGUCUCCAAAAUAACUCCAGGUCAGUUUUCGCUGCCUGUUGUGAGUUCCAGCAUCACUGCCUUUAAGGCCUUAAGAACGAUUUUAAAAGCACAUAAGCCUGAAAUACAAUUUUCCGGGCUGGAAAAUGAAGCUGCCUCUCUGCCCAGCAUCAGGGAUUCCGAUGUUCGGCGAAAUGCCAUGAUUCUAUAUAAUGGCCAGAUCUUCCUCUCAGUGAGGCGAGUGAGAUUACAAAACUCUCCCUCAGCAGCUCCAGCUGUGUGUCCUGUUUCUCCCAGUCAACAGAUCCAACUAAACACAUCUAGAUGUCAAGCACAAACACCCCUGGAAACUUCACCCAGACCACAGCAGAGCAAGAGUCAGGAUGUUCAGACUCCAGUCAGAGAUCUUGACAUUAAUACACAGAUUUUACCUCUUUUGCACAAAGUCUCUGAAGAAAUGCCUGAACAAUGCUGUACAGACAAAGAGUGUCAAAAGGAAGAAGAGUCCAGGUCACGGAGUAGCACACCUAAAUCUCCUGAGGAUCUGGAGUCUGGUCAGGAGACGUCUAGUUCCCUGCCCAGUAUCCUCCAGCAGAUCAACCACACAUCUUCUGGCAUCUCAGAACAGCCCGAAGCAGCAGGAGGACAAAGAGAGACAUCCGAGGAUGACAAUGAGCAUUUAGAGGGCGCAUUGCUCCCCAGGGCUGAGAGCUGUCUUGCAUUUGAUUUUGAACAGUUGGCCCAGGAAGAGAGAAUCAACCACCUACGAGCUCGGCUGAGACAGAAGGAAGCAUCACUCAGCAUCUUUAACUUAAAGCCGACAGAUCAGCUUUAGAGGAUCCGACUGUGCCAAAGAUGUCUGUUCAGGAGGUAUAAAAGUUCCUUGUGCAUCAUAUUAUUUGAGCAGCAGAAGAAUGUCAUAAAGCUUAAAGGAAUAGUUCACUCAAAAAUGAAAAUUCAGUCAUCAUUUAGUCACCCUGAAGUUGUUCCAAAUCUGAAUGACUUUCUUCCUUCUGCUGAACACAAAAGAAGAUAUUUUUGAAGAAUGUGGGUAGUUGCUGGUCCGCAUACUAUGUAGUAAAUGAUGACAGAAUUUCCAUUUUUGGGUGAACUAUCCCUUUAAGAUGAAUAAGUUUGUUAAUUCAGUUGACAGCACAAAUAUUGUCAUUUAAUUAAAAUAUAAAUGCAAAAUAAUGAUUUUCACACCAUAAGAGACACAUUUAAGAAUAGUAUGUGUUUGUGCAAUAAAUACGGUGAAUAAUUUGUGAAUAGCAAUGUUUGGUUUAGCUGCUAAAAUUAAAAUGCUUCAUUCAUUCUCAGUUCAAAUAAAAGGAUUUAUGUCAUACUGAGCAUUAGUCAUUUCAUUAUGUAAACCAACUGCUGUACAUCGUACCUCCAGUUAAUAAUGUACCCACACAUCUGACUGUUAACAUAACGUUUUGUCUUUAUUUUAUCUGUAAGUGCACUCUAUCUGAUUGGCUCUGAAUGCGUUCCUACAUCUAUCUUUGUUUCAUUUAUCAUUCCAGCUGAAGCCUACACACUCCAAAAUCACUUAACCGGCUUCUUGCUGAGAUAUACUCGUGAUAACUUCUUCCUCCAUUGUCGUCACUCUUAAGAUGGAUUUCAAUGUCAUGCUGCAGAAAAUCUCCAAACCAGCGU